Molecule: ribosomal RNA, 528 nt
Filed under: Cronobacter sakazakii
Lineage: Bacteria; Pseudomonadati; Pseudomonadota; Gammaproteobacteria; Enterobacterales; Enterobacteriaceae
Description: bacterial SSU rRNA
Rfam family: Bacterial small subunit ribosomal RNA
Source: RNAcentral
UGGAGAGUUUGAUCCUGGCUCAGAUUGAACGCUGGCGGCAGGCCUAACACAUGCAAGUCGAACGGUAACAGGGAGCAGCUUGCUGCUCUGCUGACGAGUGGCGGACGGGUGAGUAAUGUCUGGGAAACUGCCUGAUGGAGGGGGAUAACUACUGGAAACGGUAGCUAAUACCGCAUAACGUCUACGGACCAAAGUGGGGGACCUUCGGGCCUCAUGCCAUCAGAUGUGCCCAGAUGGGAUUAGCUAGUAGGUGGGGUAACGGCUCACCUAGGCGACGAUCCCUAGCUGGUCUGAGAGGAUGACCAGCCACACUGGAACUGAGACACGGUCCAGACUCCUACGGGAGGCAGCAGUGGGGAAUAUUGCACAAUGGGCGCAAGCCUGAUGCAGCCAUGCCGCGUGUAUGAAGAAGGCCUUCGGGUUGUAAAGUACUUUCAGCGGGGAGGAAGGCGUUGUGGUUAAUAACCACAGCGAUUGACGUUACCCGCAGAAGAAGCACCGGCUAACUCCGUGCCAGCAGCCGCGGUA